UGCUCUCCAAUCAUUGCUAGCAACUAAUAAGAAAAAGUAGAAUAAAAGUUAAAACCUCAAGUUUCACCCUGAUUGCUUUCUUCAUAUAAACCAUUUAACCAAACAUAUUGCUCUAUAGACCUAAAAAUAUUGUUUGGUAAAAGACUAAAAGGUGUGAUAUGUGGCUCAGGGUGUGAUAUGUUUGGUAAAAGGUAUGAUAUGUUGGUCCACAAUAUUCUUAGCAUAGCAUAGGUG
RNAcentral lists this long non-coding RNA (234 nucleotides) under Panax ginseng (ginseng). Its description in RNAcentral is "long non-coding RNA (PGIN_LNC006976)". The record is from RNAcentral. Lineage: Eukaryota; Viridiplantae; Streptophyta; Magnoliopsida; Apiales; Araliaceae.